Molecule: ribosomal RNA, 496 nt
Filed under: uncultured bacterium
Lineage: Bacteria
Description: partial 16S ribosomal RNA
Rfam family: Bacterial small subunit ribosomal RNA
Source: RNAcentral
ACUCAAAGGAAUUGACGGGUCCCCGCACAAGCGGCGGAGCAUGCGGCUUAAUUCGAUGCAACCCGAAGAACCUUACCUGGGUUUGACAUCAUGGGAAAAGCCGUGGAAACACGGUGUCCGAAAGGGCCCAUGACAGGUGGUGCAUGGCUGUCGUCAGCUCGUGUCGUGAGAUGUUGGGUUAAGUCCCGCAACGAGCGCAACCCUUGUCCUAUGUUGCCAGCGGUUCGGCCGGGGACUCAUAGGAGACUGCCGGGGAUAACUCGGAGGAAGGUGAGGACGACGUCAAGUCAUCAUGCCCCUUAUAUCCAGGGCUGCACGCAUGCUACAAUGGUCGGUACAACGGGCAGCGAUCCUGCGAAGGUGAGCGAAUCCCACAAAGCCGGCCUCAGUUCGGAUUGGAGUCUGCAACUCGACUCCAUGAAGUCGGAGUCGCUAGUAAUCGUGGAUCAGCAAAGCCGCGGUGAAUGCGUUCUCGGGGAUUGUACACACCGCCCGU